This 471-nucleotide ribosomal RNA is filed under the name uncultured bacterium. Its description in RNAcentral is "bacterial SSU rRNA". It matches the Rfam family "Bacterial small subunit ribosomal RNA", at positions 46 to 506 of the family's 1533-position model. The record is from RNAcentral.
GCCUAACACAUGCAAGUCGAGCGGUAACAGGAAGUAGCUUGCUACUUUGCUGACGAGCGGCGGACGGGUGAGUAAUGCUUGGGAACUUGCCUUUGGGAGGGGGAUAACCGCUGGAAACGGUGGCUAAUACCGCAUGAUGUUUACGAACCAAAGUGGGGGCUCUUCGGACCUCACGCCCAGAGAUAGGCCCAAGUGAGAUUAGCUAGUUGGUGAGGUAAUGGCUCACCAAGGCGACGAUCUCUAGCUGUUCUGAGAGGAUGAUCAGCCACACUGGGACUGAGACACGGCCCAGACUCCUACGGGAGGCAGCAGUGGGGAAUAUUGGACAAUGGGGGCAACCCUGAUCCAGCCAUGCCGCGUGUGUGAAGAAGGCCUUCGGGUUGUAAAGCACUUUCAGUGGUGAGGAAGGCCUGUUGGUUAAUACCCAACAGGAUUGACGUUAGCCACAGAAGAAGCACCGGCUAACUCCGU